RNAcentral lists this ribosomal RNA (482 nucleotides) under uncultured bacterium. RNAcentral's name for it is "partial 16S ribosomal RNA". It matches the Rfam family "Bacterial small subunit ribosomal RNA", at positions 30 to 507 of the family's 1533-position model. The record is from RNAcentral.
AUUGAACGCUGGCGGCAUGAUUUACACAUGCAAGUCGAACGGUAACAGGCCGCAAGGUGCUGACGAGUGGCGAACGGAUGAGUAAUGCAUCGGAACGUGCCCAGUCGUGGGGGAUAACUACUCGAAAGAGUAGCUAAUACCGCAUACGAUCUAUGGAUGAAAGCGGGGGACCGUAAGGCCUCGCGCGAUUGGAGCGGCCGAUGUCAGAUUAGGUAGUUGGUGGGGUAAAGGCUCACCAAGCCAACGAUCUGUAGCUGGUCUGAGAGGACGACCAGCCACACUGGGACUGAGACACGGCCCAGACUCCUACGGGGGGCAGCAGUGGGGAAUUUUGGACAAUGGGCGCAAGCCCGAUCCAGCAAUGCCGCGUGCAGGAAGAAGGCCUUCGGGUUGUAAACUGCUUUUGUACGGAACGAAACGGCUCUGGUUAAUACCCGGGGCUAAUGACGGUACCGUAAGAAUAAGCACCGGCUAACUACGUG